GUCUACGGCUGUGCUACCCUGAACAAGCCCGAUCCUGUUUGAUCUUGGCAGCUAAGCAGUACUAACCAGGUCGGGCCUGGUUAGUACUUGGAUGGGAGACCACCUAGGAAGACCAGGUGCUGUAGGUG
This 128-nucleotide ribosomal RNA is filed under the name Pteropus alecto (black flying fox). The record is from RNAcentral. Lineage: Eukaryota; Metazoa; Chordata; Mammalia; Chiroptera; Pteropodidae.